AAGCUUGCGCCAUGUCCCCGCUCCUCUUGAAAUGCAUCAGCGGAUGACUGCCUUUGCUUCAACCCGGUGCGGCGUGAUAACUAUCUACGCCGCAGUCGGCAACGGCUCUGGCCUUGGACUUCUGCUUCGAACGGUCGCGUACGAGCGACGGCCUUUGACAAUUUGACCUCAAAUCAGGCAGGAUUACCCGCUGAACUUAA
RNAcentral lists this unclassified non-coding RNA (200 nucleotides) under soil metagenome. RNAcentral describes it as "partial contains internal transcribed spacer 2 and large subunit ribosomal RNA". The record is from RNAcentral.